UACGGCCAUAUCUCGCUGAAAUACUGGUUCCCAUACGAUCACCAAAGUCAAGCAACGUAGAGCCUGGUCAGUACCUAUAUGGUUGAGCACUUAGGAAUACCAAAUUCUGUA
Non-coding RNA from Acanthosepion pharaonis, 111 nucleotides. The record is from the annotation of a GenBank genome assembly. Lineage: Eukaryota; Metazoa; Mollusca; Cephalopoda; Sepiida; Sepiidae.